GAUGAACGCUAGCUACAGGCUUAACACAUGCAAGUCGAGGGGCAGCGGGAUUGAAGCUUGCUUCAAUUGCCGGCGACCGGCGCACGGGUGAGUAACGCGUAUCCAACCUUCCGUACACUCAGGGAUAGCCUUUCGAAAGAAAGAUUAAUACCUGAUGGUAUGAUGAGAUCGCAUGGUAUCAUCAUUAAAGAUUUAUCGGUGUACGAUGGGGAUGCGUUCCAUUAGGCAGUUGGCGGGGUAACGGCCCACCAAACCUACGAUGGAUAGGGGUUCUGAGAGGAAGGUCCCCCACAUUGGAACUGAGACACGGUCCAAACUCCUACGGGAGGCAGCAGUGAGGAAUAUUGGUCAAUGGACGAGAGUCUGAACCAGCCAAGUAGCGUGAAGGAUGACUGCCCUAUGGGUUGUAAACUUCUUUUAUACGGGAAUAAAGUGAGCCACGUGUGGCUUUUUGUAUGUACCGUAUGAAUAAGGAUCGGCUAACUCCGUGCCAGCAG
This 497-nucleotide ribosomal RNA is filed under the name uncultured bacterium. RNAcentral describes it as "bacterial SSU rRNA". It matches the Rfam family "Bacterial small subunit ribosomal RNA", at positions 28 to 514 of the family's 1533-position model. The record is from RNAcentral.